This 704-nucleotide ribosomal RNA is filed under the name uncultured Bacilli bacterium. Its description in RNAcentral is "bacterial SSU rRNA". It matches the Rfam family "Bacterial small subunit ribosomal RNA", at positions 62 to 737 of the family's 1533-position model. Lineage: Bacteria; Bacillati; Bacillota; Bacilli. The record is from RNAcentral.
UCGAACGCUUCUUUUUCCACCGGAGCUUGCUCCACCGGAAAAAGAAGAGUGGCGAACGGGUGAGUAACACGUGGGUAACCUGCCCAUCAGAAGGGGAUAACACUUGGAAACAGGUGCUAAUACCGUAUAACAAUCAAAACCGCAUGGUUUUGAUUUGAAAGGCGCUUUCGGGUGUCGCUGAUGGAUGGACCCGCGGUGCAUUAGCUAGUUGGUGAGGUAACGGCUCACCAAGGCCACGAUGCAUAGCCGACCUGAGAGGGUGAUCGGCCACAUUGGGACUGAGACACGGCCCAAACUCCUACGGGAGGCAGCAGUAGGGAAUCUUCGGCAAUGGACGAAAGUCUGACCGAGCAACGCCGCGUGAGUGAAGAAGGUUUUCGGAUCGUAAAACUCUGUUGUUAGAGAAGAACAAGGAUGAGAGUAACUGUUCAUCCCUUGACGGUAUCUAACCAGAAAGCCACGGCUAACUACGUGCCAGCAGCCGCGGUAAUACGUAGGUGGCAAGCGUUGUCCGGAUUUAUUGGGCGUAAAGCGAGCGCAGGCGGUUUCUUAAGUCUGAUGUGAAAGCCCCCGGCUCAACCGGGGAGGGUCAUUGGAAACUGGGAGACUUGAGUGCAGAAGAGGAGAGUGGAAUUCCAUGUGUAGCGGUGAAAUGCGUAGAUAUAUGGAGGAACACCAGUGGCGAAGGCGGCUCUCUGGUCUGU